GAACUGCGUCAGUGCCCCUGACGCCAUCUCGCCGCGCGGCGGCCGGGCCCCGCAGCAUGGCCGUGCCCGGGGAGCCGCCGCCGCCGCCUCCCGCCGCCGCCGAGCUGCCGUCCUUCGCCGCGGCCCGCGGGCUGGUGGGGCGGCGCUACUCGUGCCUGGUGGUGGCGCCGCACCGCCGGCACAUCGCGCUGCCGCCGCGCUACCUCGGCCACAAGCGCACGGGCAUCCGCGCCCAGCUGGACGCCGAGCUGCUGCGCUACUCGGAGAGCCUCCAGGGCGUGCCGGUGGCCUACGACAACGUGCGGGUGGUGGGGGAGCUCGGCGACAUCCGCGACGACCAGGGCUUCGUGCACCUGAACAUCGAGGCGGACUUCGUCAUCUUCAGCCCCAAGAAGGGGAAAAAAAUGGUGAUACAGGUUCACUGAACUGGACUGUAUAAAAAGAAUCAUAGAAUCAUUAAGGUUGGAAGAGACCUCCAAGAUCAUCUGGUCCAACCAUCACCCGUACUACCAAUAACACCCACUAAACCAUGUCCCUAAGUACCAGGUCCAACCUUUCCUUAAACACCCCCAGGGACGGUGACAUCACCACUUCCUUGGGCAACCCGUUCCAAUGCCUGACGACUCUUUCUGAGAAGAAAUUUCUCAAAAAUGGUUUUGAUUUUAGUGUAGAAAAUUUUACUUAUUUGCUAGAUAAACAGACUUCUAACUUGAGUGUAGAAAGUGUCCAAAGUGUCUAUAUAGGAAACUGAACAUGCAUCACCUAUGCAUUCAAAGGGAUAAUCUUUAAUAGAGCUUUAUAUGACAUUGUUUUUCUUUUUUAGGGUGUAAUUAAUAAAGUGGCCCCCAGUCAUAUUGGCUGUCUGAUACAUGGAUGCUUCAAUGCUUCUAUCCCUAAACCUGAACAAAUGUCAGCUGUAGAGUGGCAAGAGUUAGGGUUAAAAGUAGGGGAUGAACUGAAAUUUCGAGUAUCACACUUAGAUUCUGAUGCAGCUGGAGUGUUCUUCAUUCGAGGAGGACUGACUAAAACAAGUAUGCAGCCCAAAAUAUCUGAGAGCAUCACUGAUUGUGCAAAUGGAGAGGAAACUCAAAACCUUGAACAUGAGAAAAAUAGCUUGAAUGACUCUGGGGGAGUUAAUGUCAUGGAAGAGCCUCCAGAUGAGACAGGUAACACUGAGAGGGACAAUGCAGAAGAGCAAAGUGUUGAUCCUGUGAAUGGAAUAUGUGAUGAUAAAAACAAGAAGAAGAAAAAGAAAAAACGUAAGCAAGAAGAACAGCAACAGGUAUUGCCUGCCAGUGACUCUAGUGGUUACCAAAGUGACCACAAAAAGUCAAAGAAAAAGAAAAGAAAGCAUUGUGAAGUUGAAGAAAGUGAAUUGCCUCAACUGCCACAAGAACCCAAAGCUAAAAAAAAAAGGACUGAAGUCUGAAGUGCCUGUCUUAAAAAAGAUAUCAGAUAUUUUUGAUAAACUUCCAAUAAAACCCUAUUUUCAAAAUACAUGUGUAUUUCUUUACUAAACAAUAUGCUUUUCUGUGUGAGAUUGUUUGUGUGCAUAUGUGCAUCAACAGCUUUACAGGCAGCAGCUUUUAAAGAAGUGUUGCAAGAAAAAGGGUGGAGGCAGUAUGUGCAUGUCUUGACUGGAAAAUAAUGGAUAGAAUAUGAGUAUAGUAUAAUUGUAGGAUCACACAUAUCAUCUCUGCUUUCCAGCUCCAUGCAUUAACUAGUAGCUAGUUAUGAAUUAAGAUAAUCAAAUUUCAUCAUUGCUGCUGAGUGUCUUGAUUUUUGUAAGAGGAGUCUUAAUGUUCUGGGAUACAUUCCUGAAUUUUCAAGUGCUGAGAAAAGAAUUUUUUGUUGUUUUGUUUUUUAAUUGUUGGAGGGGAGGGAGAAGUAAUGGGCAGUGAAUGCCUGUGAAUGAAUCUGUGCAGCCUGACUUAAAGGUUAAUCUAACAGUGAGUGUAGUGGUUCAUUCAAAACAAAGCUUUGUAGGUACUCUCUAAAAAACAAAUAAACAAAAAGAGACUGGGCAACAUGACUCAGCACUGAAGCAGGGAAGAGAGAAGAUUAAUGUAAUCCGAUGUGAUGAAAUAGCAUUUGCACACUGGUUAGAAUAACACUGGUUAAGCUGCUAGUCGUGACAUAAUUUGAGAAAGUUCUUAUUUUUUAUGUAUCAAACUCAGAUGUAGCAGUUUUCAUUUAAAAAAAAAAAAAGGUGCAACUCUAACCACGUAUACCUGCUAUAACUUUAAAAUGUUGGUCUCUAGAAUAACAGGUGAGUGCAGUCAGUAUUUUCCAGGCUGUUGGAAUUAAUGUUACUGGAAAAUUAAGAUAAU
RNAcentral lists this long non-coding RNA (2330 nucleotides) under Anas platyrhynchos (mallard). Its description in RNAcentral is "lncRNA (ENSAPLG00020001583.1)". The record is from RNAcentral. Lineage: Eukaryota; Metazoa; Chordata; Aves; Anseriformes; Anatidae.